CUAUCUGAUCCAUACGGUGAUCCUGCUCUGUAAAUCUAGCCUCAUGAGAAGCCAAUUGCUGACUUAAAUCUGCGGGGUCCAUGGCCCUAUCGUAAUGUCAUGGUAGUUUACCCCUACACGCAAGAUUUAGUUCAACAAUCGACAGAUAGAGCAGAUACGGCUUACCGGACCUUAGAAUGGCCGGACUCGCCGUAUAUCAGAGAAUAGACAGAGUCAAG
Pelobates cultripes (western spadefoot toad) is the source of this 218-nucleotide non-coding RNA. The record is from the annotation of a GenBank genome assembly. NCBI's taxonomy places the organism in Eukaryota, Metazoa, Chordata, Amphibia, Anura, Pelobatidae.